GGGUGGGUAAAACCAUUUAGUACCGGAGCUAACGCGUGAAGUUGACCGCCUGGGGAGUACGGCCGCAAGGUUAAAACUCAAAGGAAUUGACGGGGACCCGCACAAGCGGUGGAUGAUGUGGAUUAAUUCGAUGCAACGCGAAAAACCUUACCUACCCUUGACAUGUCCAGAAGCUCUUAGAGAUUUGAGUGUGCCCGAAAGGGAACUGGAACACAGGUGCUGCAUGGCUGUCGUCAGCUCGUGUCGUGAGAUGUUGGGUUAAGUCCCGCAACGAGCGCAACCCUUGUCGUUAAUUGCCAUCAUUCAGUUGGGCACUUUAACGAGACUGCCGGUGACAAACCGGAGGAAGGUGGGGAUGACGUCAAGUCCUCAUGGCCCUUAUGGGUAGGGCUUCACACGUCAUACAAUGGUCGGUACAAAGGGUUGCCAACCCGCGAGGGGGAGCUAAUCCCAGAAAGCCGAUCGUAGUCCGGAUCGUAGGCUGCAACUCGCCUGCGUGAAGUCGGAAUCGCUAGUAAUCGUGGAUCAGCAUGUCACGGUGAAUACGUUCCCGGGUCUUGUACACACCGCCCGUCACACCAUGGGAGCGGGUUCCGCCAGAAGUAGGUAGCCUAACCGCAAGGAGGGCGCUUACCACGGCGGGGUUCGUGACUGGGGUGAAGUCGUAACAAGGUAG
RNAcentral lists this ribosomal RNA (676 nucleotides) under uncultured bacterium. RNAcentral's name for it is "bacterial SSU rRNA". It matches the Rfam family "Bacterial small subunit ribosomal RNA", at positions 825 to 1499 of the family's 1533-position model. The record is from RNAcentral.